Molecule: ribosomal RNA, 253 nt
Filed under: uncultured bacterium
Lineage: Bacteria
Description: partial 16S ribosomal RNA
Rfam family: Bacterial small subunit ribosomal RNA
Source: RNAcentral
UACGUAGGGUGCAAGCGUUAAUCGGAAUUACUGGGCGUAAAGCGUGCGCAGGCGGUGAUGUAAGACAGUUGUGAAAUCCCCGGGCUCAACCUGGGAACUGCAUCUGUGACUGCAUUGCUGGAGUGCGGCAGAGGGGGAUGGAAUUCCGCGUGUAGCAGUGAAAUGCGUAGAUAUGCGGAGGAGCACCGAUGGCGAAGGCAAUCCCCUGGGCCUGCACUGACGCUCAUGCACGAAAGCGUGGGGAGCAAACAGG